This 470-nucleotide long non-coding RNA is filed under the name Brassica napus (rape). RNAcentral describes it as "long non-coding RNA (BNAP_LNC009435)". Lineage: Eukaryota; Viridiplantae; Streptophyta; Magnoliopsida; Brassicales; Brassicaceae. The record is from RNAcentral.
CUUAGCUUUCUCUGACUUCUCAAACUUAAUUGGAUCCAUAACUGAUGUAGACUCAACAAUUUCAGCUAAUCCUUUUUCCAAAUCCUUCACAGUUGACUCAGGUUUAUCCUUGGUGACUGAGGCAUCCUUUAAUAGCUUCUCAUCAGUACGGAUAUCCUCCAGACUAAGAACUCCAAAGUGUGCAAGCAUCCACACCUUCCAUAAUGUGAAAUCCCUACCAUCGAACUGAUCCACUUCUGUGCGUGUAUUUGACAUCACGUGUGAAUCAGAUAACCUUUCUCUCCUUGAACUGUAUCCUCCUAAGUAACUUUCAGAACCUGGUUCUAUGAUACCAGUUGUAGAGAUUAAAAUUAGGUUUACUUAGGAUUCAAGUUAACUUUGACCUAGAACUAAAGUUUGAAAGUAAUGAUACAAUCAAGUUUAACGAGUUCCCGGCUUCUAGCCAGUACAUCUCCUGGGAGAACUUCUGC